Long non-coding RNA from Apodemus sylvaticus (European woodmouse), 2409 nucleotides. RefSeq lists it as uncharacterized. The transcript has 2 exons. The record is from RefSeq and is a predicted model, not a curated record. Lineage: Eukaryota; Metazoa; Chordata; Mammalia; Rodentia; Muridae.
GGGGAGGGCGCCUGUUUGCACUUCCUCUCCGGGCCGAAGGACAGAAAGCUCCACGCAGCUAGCGCCUCGAUGAGGCUGUUUUUUAAUCUAGAAGGGCUCAGGUUCCUUACCUAGCAGCGGCACUCGCGCCCUUCCUCCCCUAGGGUCCCCACCCCCUCCGGGGACCGAGGCCUGGAAGCCGCUGAGCCCGCUGUGCCCUGGCGCGGGAGGAACCGCGAGGCAGCAGCGCCCCCUGCAGGUGCCAGGCGUCUCCGCAGCCUGGCGCUCCUAGACUCUUAAGGUGGAACCGCCUGAUUCUCCGUCACGCUCAUGGCUGCGAGUGGAGGACCUCUUCUGUGGAUGCCCCACUAUGGAUCGACAAGUCACGUUGAAAUUUCCCUGCAGUGUAAGAGGAUUGCCUAAAUCCCGCUUCAGGGCGGAAAGACCAGAAGGCGUUUCUGUAACUGGAAAGCAAAUCUUUACUUUUGUUUAUUAAACGUAAGCGACCGUGAGCAUAGGAUGAGAUCUCGGAAUCUUCUCACUCCCAGCAAACUCGUGGACAGGUGCACGGAUAGAGGACUGGACCACGCGUGCAGCCUGUGUAGGAUCCACGUCUUGUAUCUUCAGAGACCUCUGCUCGGAGUUAUCCUAUGUUUUAUUUACUUUUCUUCCCCCUUCCCUUUCUUGAGCCGACUGAUAAACAUGAGAACUCUUGCAAGUGUCCUCCAGGAGCACCAGCUUCUUGGAGGAAACCCCAUGAAAUGAGCAAGCAGGGUUCCGCGCGGUCUCAGUCUAGUCCUUCUCGGUCGGCACCUGGGAGCCUGGGGCUGCAGAAGGUCCCUGGACUCCGGCACACCCAUGACCCGGGAGCGGCGGAGGAGAGCCCGGACUGGAGCGCACAGGGCUGCUGGCUUAGAGUGUGCGGAUCAUCCACACCGUGGGAACUCCCCUCCCCCUGGGCACCGGGCCUGGGAUCCGCCCCGCGGGUGGGAGGCCGAUGGUCCCUGGGGUGGGUGUUGGCGCCGGAGAAACCUAGCACGCGCUAGGCAGCUGCGGGCAAAGCUCGCCUGGGCAGGUGCCUCCGGGUCAGACCCGCCCUGGGGGUUGCAAACCGCAAGCGAAAGUCGAGAAGGGCAGGAGCUUGCCCACUAAUCCGUUUUACACUGUGAAAACCGCAGGCCUGUCGCCUAAGAGGCCACUUUUUAAUUUGGAAGCACAUGGAGGGGGAGAAAAAACAAAUCAACAUGCGAGCACACUUCCUUUUCUUUUUUUCUUGCCGUGCCUCUCCUCCCCCCACUUUUCAACGAAAAAGCUGUCCUACUGGUAAAGAGUGGAAAUGAUCUGCACUUUGGAUUGCAGGGGAGACACGGGCACAUAGGGAGCCCGGCGAGUCACCGGAGGCCACGUGCUUCAGGCAAGCCCCAUCCAGUGUUCCCCCCCCCCCCUGCUGUGACUGGAGGGCAGUGUGCGACAUUUGGGUGUCAGCAUUCCUUGAGAGAGCGCCUGCUCGGUCGGUGGAUCUGCCGAAAGGGUAGGGGAUUGGGUUAGCAAACCAGAAGAAACACGCACACACUCACGAAUGCUCCUCAGUGCUUUCCAUGGGAGAACCCACUAAAGUCUCUAACAAAACUCAGUUUACUGUGUACGGACCUGAGGUGCUCAGGCUCCUGGAAGAACAGGCAGAGGAAGGAAGACAGUAGGACGGAUGGGGAAAGCCGAGGGUCAAGUGGGCAAGCUCAGGAUAGUGGAUCCCUUAUUCCCACGUUCCUCGUGUAAAGGUCCUGUUUAGGAACUCUCCCCCACCACCCAGAUAUGUGCUAGUGGUGAUAGAAAGGGAAGGCAGACAAACGAAAGCCUGGAGGAUGACCUUUAUUUAAUAAGUAAAACUCAGAUAAAUUACUCGGUGAAAUUGUGCUGGGGUGGGGGUGGGGGAAGAAGGAGUUCUUUGAAACCUAGAACACUUUAAAACUCCAAAAUUUUGGAGGGGCAGAAAGUCUUGUAAAACGUUUGUACAAUUGAGACGUACUGCUCAUUAAUUCAUUUUGAAAGCUGUUGUGGGGUUGAAUGAAGUCUUUCUCAGCCCCUGUGAGAAGCUCAACUAAUUUUGAUGCAAAGCAAAAUUGGGGUAGAAACUUCAUUAACAGAAAAUGUGUAUAGAACUUUAUAGUACUUGGGUCUAUUUCUAGGACAAGAGAUUUUUUUUUAAAAAAAAUUAAACGAGAUAACUUAUGCUUUUGUGACUCCGGCCAUGACUCCGUAUUUGCUUUCCCACGUGUGAGGGCGCACAGACCAGUACAUAAGCUUACCUGAUUUGUCUUCUAGACCUGUGUUUCGAUUUUCACUCAAGUUGGAGACCUACCUUCUUUCUGCCUGUAUGCACUUUAUUAAAGAUCGUCUGUUAACAAAUAAAAUGACCUUCUUUGCUCUGAA